RNAcentral lists this ribosomal RNA (998 nucleotides) under Cellulomonas cellasea. RNAcentral's name for it is "bacterial SSU rRNA". It matches the Rfam family "Bacterial small subunit ribosomal RNA", at positions 56 to 1066 of the family's 1533-position model. Lineage: Bacteria; Bacillati; Actinomycetota; Actinomycetes; Micrococcales; Cellulomonadaceae. The record is from RNAcentral.
UGCAGUCGAACGGUGAUGAUGGGGCUUGCCCUGUCUGAUCAGUGGCGAACGGGUGAGUAACACGUGAGUAACCUGCCCCUGACUCUGGGAUAACCGUGGGAAACGACGGCUAAUACCGGAUAUGAGACGUCCACGCAUGUGGAGCGUCUGGAAAGAUUUAUUGGUCUGGGAUGGACUCGCGGCCUAUCAGCUUGUUGGUGGGGUAAUGGCCUACCAAGGCGACGACGGGUAGCCGGCCUGAGAGGGCGACCGGCCACACUGGGACUGAGAUACGGCCCAGACUCCUACGGGAGGCAGCAGUGGGGAAUAUUGCACAAUGGGCGAAAGCCUGAUGCAGCGACGCCGCGUGGGGGAUGAAGGCCUUCGGGUUGUAAACCCCUUUCAGCAGGGAAGAAGCGAAAGUGACGGUACCUGCAGAAGAAGCGCCGGCUAACUACGUGCCAGCAGCCGCGGUAAUACGUAGGGCGCAAGCGUUGUCCGGAAUUAUUGGGCGUAAAGAGCUCGUAGGCGGUUUGUCGCGUCUGCUGUGAAAUCCUGAGGCUCAACCUCGGGCUUGCAGUGGGUACGGGCAGACUAGAGUGCGGUAGGGGUGACUGGAAUUCCUGGUGUAGCGGUGGAAUGCGCAGAUAUCAGGAGGAACACCGAUGGCGAAGGCAGGUCACUGGGCCGCAACUGACGCUGAGGAGCGAAAGCAUGGGGAGCGAACAGGAUUAGAUACCCUGGUAGUCCAUGCCGUAAACGUUGGGCACUAGGUGUGGGGCUCAUUCCACGAGUUCCGUGCCGCAGCAAACGCAUUAAGUGCCCCGCCUGGGGAGUACGGCCGCAAGGCUAAAACUCAAAGGAAUUGACGGGGGCCCGCACAAGCGGCGGAGCAUGCGGAUUAAUUCGAUGCAACGCGAAGAACCUUACCAAGGCUUGACAUACACCGGAAAAGUGCAGAGAUGUGCUCCCCGCAAGGUCGGUGUACAGGUGGUGCAUGGUUGUCGUCAGCUCGUGUC